GACGAACGCUGGCGGCGUGCUUAACACAUGCAAGUCGAACGGAAAGGCCCUGCUUUUGUGGGGUGCUCGAGUGGCGAACGGGUGAGUAACACGUGAGUAACCUGCCCUUGACUUUGGGAUAACUUCAGGAAACUGGGGCUAAUACCGGAUAGGAGCUCCUGCUGCAUGGUGGGGGUUGGAAAGUUUCGGCGGUUGGGGAUGGACUCGCGGCUUAUCAGCUUGUUGGUGGGGUAGUGGCUUACCAAGGCUUUGACGGGUAGCCGGCCUGAGAGGGUGACCGGCCACAUUGGGACUGAGAUAGGGCCCAGACUCCUACGGGAGGCAGAAGUGGGGAAUAUUGCACAAUGGGCGGAAGCCUGAUGCAGCAACGCCGCGUGCGGGAUGACGGCCUUCGGGUUGUAAACCGCUUUCGCCUGUGACGAAGCGUGAGUGACGGUAAUGGGUAAAGAAGCACCGGCUAACUACGUG
This 468-nucleotide ribosomal RNA is filed under the name uncultured bacterium. Its description in RNAcentral is "partial 16S ribosomal RNA". It matches the Rfam family "Bacterial small subunit ribosomal RNA", at positions 28 to 507 of the family's 1533-position model. The record is from RNAcentral.